RNAcentral lists this long non-coding RNA (345 nucleotides) under Androctonus crassicauda. Lineage: Eukaryota; Metazoa; Arthropoda; Arachnida; Scorpiones; Buthidae. The record is from RNAcentral.
GUUCUAUCAAAAAAGUAAUAGGUAGGUACAGAAAUUUUUUUAGAUAAAGUUUCUCUGCUGUGAUUGUUUAGUUCAUUUUUUACUUUUACUUUUGAAAGAUUUCAAAUCUUUUUGUUACAAAAUAUAGCUAUGGCAGUUCAUUCACUUACAAUUGAUGGGAUUUUAGAGGAGCUACUGAUUCUUGAUGAAAAUCAAAGUGGAGAUGAAUCAGAGGUGGGUUCUGAGUUAGAGAUGAAUAGUAAUAGUGACUUUGAAGUGAACUUUUCAAACAAGGAUUCUGAUUCUAGCAUUAAUGAUGAUAGUGUUGAGUCAAUUCAAAAUGUCAAUAGGCAGUUGAUAACAUGU